RNAcentral lists this ribosomal RNA (428 nucleotides) under uncultured bacterium. Its description in RNAcentral is "bacterial SSU rRNA". It matches the Rfam family "Bacterial small subunit ribosomal RNA", at positions 355 to 775 of the family's 1533-position model. The record is from RNAcentral.
UGGGGAAUAUUGGACAAUGGGGGCAACCCUGAUCCAGCGAUGCCGCGUGAGUGAAGAAGGCCUUCGGGUCGUAAAGCUCUUUAGGUUGGGAAGAAGGACAUGCGUUUAAUAGACGCGUGUCUUGACGGUACCGACAGAAUAAGCACCGGCAAACUCUGUGCCAGCAGCCGCGGUAAUACAGAGGGUGCGAGCGUUAAUCGGAAUUACUGGGUGUAAAGGGCGCGUAGGCGGCAAGAUGUGUGUGGUGUGAAAGCCCCGGGCUUAACCUGGGAAGUGCAUCGCAAACUAUCUGGCUAGAGUAUAUGAGAGGGUGGCGGAAUUUCCGGUGUAGCGGUGAAAUGCGUAGAGAUCGGAAGGAACGUCAAUGGCGAAGGCAGCCACCUGACAUAAUACUGACGCUGAGGCGCGAAAGCGUGGGGAGCGAACAG